GGGGAAUAUUGGACAAUGGGCGAAAGCCUGAUCCAGCCAUGCCGCGUGUGUGAAGAAGGUCUUCGGAUUGUAAAGCACUUUAAGUUGGGAAGAAACCGCACCGUGCUAAUCAGCGGUGCCUUGACGGUACCUUCAAAGGAAGCACCGGCUAACUCCGUGCCAGCAGCCGCGGUAAUACGGAGGGUGCAAGCGUUAAUCGGAAUUACUGGGCGUAAAGCGCACGUAGGCUGCUUUGUAAGUCAGGGGUGAAAUCCCACGGCUCAACCGUGGAACGGCCUGUGGUACUGCUUAGCUUGAAUGCGGGAGAGGGUGGCGGAAUUCCAGGUGUAGGAGUGAAAUCCGUAGAUAUCUGGAGGAACAUCAGUGGCGAAGGCGGCCACCUGGACCGGUAUUGACGAUGAGGUGCGAAAGCGUGGGGAGCAAACA
Molecule: ribosomal RNA, 426 nt
Filed under: uncultured Pseudomonadota bacterium
Lineage: Bacteria; Pseudomonadati; Pseudomonadota
Description: bacterial SSU rRNA
Rfam family: Bacterial small subunit ribosomal RNA
Source: RNAcentral